Molecule: ribosomal RNA, 446 nt
Filed under: uncultured bacterium
Lineage: Bacteria
Description: partial 16S ribosomal RNA
Rfam family: Bacterial small subunit ribosomal RNA
Source: RNAcentral
CCUACGGGUGGCAGCAGUCGAGAAUCAUUCACAAUGGGGGAAACCCUGAUGGUGCGACGCCGCGUGGGUGAAUGAAGGUCUUCGGAUUGUAAACCCCUGUCAUGUGGGAGCAAAUUAUAACGAUAGUACCAUCAGAGGAAGAGACUGCUAACUCUGUGCCAGCAGCCGCGGUAAUACAGAGGUCUCAAGCGUUGUUCGGAAUCACUGGUCGUAAGGCGUGCGUAGGCUGUUUCGUAAGUCGUGUGUGAAAGGCGCGGGCUCAACCCGCGGACGGCACAUGAGACUGCGAGACUAGAGUAAUGGAGGGGGAACCGGAAUUCUCGGUGGAGCAGUGAAAUGCGUAGAUAUCGGGAGGAACACUCGUGGCGAAGGCGGGUUCCUGGACAUUAACUGACGCUGAGGCACGAAGGCCAGGGGAGCGAAAGGGAUUAGAUACCCUAGUAGUC